AGAGUUUGAUCAUGGCUCAGGACGAACGCUGGCGGCGUGCCUAACACAUGCAAGUCGAACGAAGUAUAUUUUCGGAUAUGCUUAGUGGCGGACGGGUGAGUAACGCGUGAACAAUCUGCCCUGUACACAGGAAUAGCCUCGGGAAACUGGGAUUAAAACCGGAUAACACUUUCUGGCCGCAUGGCCGGGAAGUCAAAUUGAUUUAGAGGUACAGGAUGAGUUCGCGUCUGAUUAGCUAGUUGGUGAGGUAACGGCUCACCAAGGCGACGAUCAGUAGCCGGCCUGAGAGGGUGAACGGCCACACUGGAACUGAGACACGGUCCAGACUCCUACGGGAGGCAGCAGUGGGGAAUAUUGCACAAUGGAGGAAACUCUGAUGCAGCGACGCCGCGUGAGUGAAGAAGGUCUUCGGAUCGUAAAACUCUGUCCUUGGUGACGAAAAAAAUGACGGUAGCCAAGGAGGAAGCCCCGGCUAACUACGUGCCAGCAGCCGCGGUAAUACGUAGGGGGCGAGCGUUGUCCGGAUUUACUGGGCGUAAAGGGUGAGUAGGCGGUAAUAUGUGUCAGAUGUAAAAGGCUAUGGCUUAACCAUAGUUGGCAUUUGAAACUGUAUUACUUGAGUGCAGGAGAGGUAAGUGGAAUUCCUAGUGUAGCGGUGAAAUGCGUAGAUAUUAGGAGGAACACCAGUGGCGAAGGCGACUUACUGGACUGUAACUGACGCUGAGUCACGAAAGCGUGGGUAGCAAACAGGAUUAGAUACCCUGGUAGUCCACGCUGUAAACGAUGAGUGCUAGGUGUUGGGUAGCGAUAUUCAGUGCCGAAGUAAACACAAUAAGCACUCCGCCUGGGGAGUACGGUCGCAAGACUGAAACUCAAAUGAAUUGACGG
This 888-nucleotide ribosomal RNA is filed under the name Sedimentibacter sp. enrichment culture clone B4137. Its description in RNAcentral is "bacterial SSU rRNA". It matches the Rfam family "Bacterial small subunit ribosomal RNA", at positions 8 to 916 of the family's 1533-position model. The record is from RNAcentral. Lineage: Bacteria; Bacillati; Bacillota; Tissierellia.